UGCGUAGGCGGAUUAAUAAGUCAGUGGUGAAAUCUUUCGGCUCAACCGAGAAACUGCCAUUGAUACUGUUAAUCUUGAGUUCGGUUGAGGUAGGCGGAAUGUGUAAUGUAGCGGUGAAAUGCUUAGAUAUUACACAGAACACCAAUUGCGUAGGCAUCUUACUAGACCGACACUGACGCUGAGGCACGAAAGCGUGGGGAGCGAACAGGAUUAGAUACCCUGGUAGUCC
RNAcentral lists this ribosomal RNA (229 nucleotides) under uncultured bacterium. RNAcentral's name for it is "partial 16S ribosomal RNA". It matches the Rfam family "Bacterial small subunit ribosomal RNA", at positions 568 to 796 of the family's 1533-position model. The record is from RNAcentral.